This 24-nucleotide small nuclear RNA is filed under the name Arabidopsis thaliana (thale cress). RNAcentral describes it as "snRNA_04040". Lineage: Eukaryota; Viridiplantae; Streptophyta; Magnoliopsida; Brassicales; Brassicaceae. The record is from RNAcentral.
AAACUUCGGCGACGUUUGUUUGAU